AAACGGCCAUCAAACUUUCAACUAUUCAACCAGUUCUUAGAAUUUCGGUUCCGUUGCAUUAAGUACAAGCUAACUUUUUUGACCCAAUUUUGUGUCCCUCUAGUGAAAAACUAAAUGUUAGUUUUUGGUUAUAGAUGUUUGUAUUUAUGAAAAUUAAGAGUAUAUAACUAUAAGAAAUAAAUACUAACUAACUAAUUUGGGCCAG
Molecule: long non-coding RNA, 205 nt
Organism: Arabidopsis thaliana (thale cress)
Lineage: Eukaryota; Viridiplantae; Streptophyta; Magnoliopsida; Brassicales; Brassicaceae
Product: other RNA
Exons: 1
Source: RefSeq